RNAcentral lists this long non-coding RNA (1303 nucleotides) under Heterocephalus glaber (naked mole-rat). RNAcentral's name for it is "lncRNA (ENSHGLG00000035146.1)". Lineage: Eukaryota; Metazoa; Chordata; Mammalia; Rodentia; Bathyergidae. The record is from RNAcentral.
GCUCCAUGUCGCCCUCGGUCGCCAGGAUUCGCUGUACUGUCUGCAAGACGUUGGUUGCCAUGGUGACGUCCCCACAGACAAACAUGUGGCCCCGCUCGAGGCACAGCACGCGGUGCACUUCAGCAGCUAGCUCAGUCCUCAGGAUGUCCUGCACGUCGCGCUCAGGGUUCCGCACCUUAGGGCUGUUGGGUUCCCGGGAAAAGGCGGUGAGAACGCUGUCGAACACCCCUCGCUGCUGGGCGUCCUGCACCUCGUCGCGGUAGAGAUGGUCAAGUUGGGAACAUCGACAGCCAAAUACCAAAGUCAUGGGUGUGGGCUGCAGCCCUGCGAACAACACUGGGGCUUGGGAGGGUCCUAUUUCCCGGGGUAUCCCUGGCGACACCGGCCACCCUUUCCCAGGCCGACAGCCCGCCGUUUUGGGGCUGAAACACCACAAACAUGGCUGUUUAGAUUCCUGCAUAGACACUGUAGCAUCUCUGACUUACAGAGAAGGAAACCCCAGCUUUUGGGUGGCCCCAGAUUAAGCCCACAUCCUCAGUCUUCCUCUCAGUCACAGCCCCCUUGAGUGACACCUCAUGUUCAGUCUAAACACCCUAUCCCUUCUUUAAGCCUUGGUCACACCUGGGUGAACCCUGGCACAGUCCAGAAUCCUCCUUGGGGAUUUCUUCUGAGUCCCAGCUCCAUCCCUUCCAAACCCCCAUUUGCUUUUGUCCUUAAUCUGGUUUAACACCUAUAUGCCAGGCACCAGGAAGCAGAUGAACUGGGCCAGCUCUUCUCCCAGGCCUUCUGUCUUGGCCUAGUAAGCUUCCCUUCACCUUUGGCUCCAGUUUCUUGCCCUCUCUGUCCUCCCUCUUCCUGCCUUCUAGCCCCACCCCUUUGUCCCUCCCUCCUGCCUUUCAAGUCAGUCCCUGAGGGCCAGCCUCACCUUUGCUCUCAAUGUCAUGCAGCCUCUCCUGCCAGAAUCCCCGGAAGGGGGCAAUGCCGGUGCCUGGGCCCACCAGAAUGCAGGGCAAGCUGGGGUCAAGUGGGAGCCCCGGAAGGAAGGAGCCCCUAGUCGGGAGAGACUCCAUCAGGUUUCCCUGUAUCCCCUUUCUUACCACCCAAGGUCCAAUGACAAAUGCAUUAAUAUUUAUAAGUCCUCAGAGCAGUGUGGGUCAUGGUAAGACUAUGUAAUUGUUUACUAAAAGAAUUCUGCUCACAGCCAGAAACUCUCUGGGCCUGUGAUGUUUAGGGAUUGGACCAGCAGAAAAUACAGUUUGGGAUGAAAGAUACUUAGAUAACUAAGUUUAGGGGAUUUAAAAAA